CCUACGGGAGGCAGCAGUGGGGAAUAUUGGGCAAUGGGCGAAAGCCUGACCCAGCAACGCCGCGUGAAGGAAGACGGCUUUCGGGUUGUAAACUUCUUUUGACAGGGAAGAGCAGAAGACGGUACCUGUCGAAUAAGCCACGGCUAACUACGUGCCAGCAGCCGCGGUAAUACGUAGGUGGCAAGCGUUGUCCGGAUUUACUGGGUGUAAAGGGCGUGUAGCCGGGCUGACAAGUCUGAUGUGACAUCCCGGGGCUCAACCCCCGAACUGCAUUUGAAACUGUUGGUCUUGAGUAUCGGAGAGGCAGGCGGAAUUCCUAGUGUAGCGGUGAAAUGCGUAGAUAUUAGGAGGAACACCAGUGGCGAAGGCGGCCUGCGGGACGACAACUGACGGUGAGGCGCGAAAGCGUGGGGAGCAAACAGGAUUAGAUACCCUAGUAGUC
Molecule: ribosomal RNA, 442 nt
Filed under: uncultured bacterium
Lineage: Bacteria
Description: partial 16S ribosomal RNA
Rfam family: Bacterial small subunit ribosomal RNA
Source: RNAcentral